UUGCGGUUUCCCCUCCAAACCAGAGGGGGACGAAAAGGGAAUCGCGUGAGAAUCGCGAGCUGUCGCGCAACUGUGAAUCGCCGCUAUCACGGGAUGGCCGAACAUGCCAUUGGACCCCUGCAGGUCCGAGAAGGCGCCACCCCGGAGACGAAAGCCAGGAGACCUGCCGCCAUGAG
Molecule: non-coding RNA, 176 nt
Filed under: bovine gut metagenome
Source: RNAcentral